This 731-nucleotide long non-coding RNA is filed under the name Laticauda laticaudata (blue-ringed sea krait). RNAcentral's name for it is "lncRNA (ENSLLTG00000006116.1)". The record is from RNAcentral. Lineage: Eukaryota; Metazoa; Chordata; Lepidosauria; Squamata; Elapidae.
UGUAUAUGAAUACAUUACAACUUUUCCUGAAUCCACAUUUCUGUUGUUUUCUUCCUUAGGGAACCAGGAGAUAGGAUCACAUCUUCAAACCGUACUACAGAGGAAGCAGUUUGUUUGAUCACUUUGACCAACUGUUAACAUCCAACCACUCCAUCUUCUCAAACAUGCACCAGCCAAUCCUUGGAGGAUGAAGUAAAAGACAAAGUGAUUUGUUCAAGUUGUAAAGGAGAUUCAUUGAAAAACCAACAGGGGUCCACACAACUUCCGGGGAAAAUGAAAGAAGCUAUCAGACAGGCAACUGUAGAGGAAACAAAUUGGCGUGCAAUUCAAGAUAUGUGCAUGAUACAUAAAGAAGACUUAAGUCUUUUCUGUUUGGAGGAUCAAAUUCCCCUUUGUUCACUCUGCAGAAAAUCCUGGGAUCAUGCGGGGCACACUGUCAUUUCCAGGGAUCAACCAGAAAACCAGGCUACUGGAAAUGUCUUGAAUGGGGGGAAAGAGAGUUUUCCAAAAUCCCAACCAACCAUUGUAGAAUUUUCAACCAUAAACCCAGCAGACUUCAUAGAAAAAGGAGGAGCAACUGAUGGGAAUGAAGAUGACCACAAGGGUAUGCAUGCAGCUAUUGAGCAGUGUGUGGACUUCAUCUCGGAAGAAAAGAAGGAAGCAGGUAUAAGGCACUUGACAUUAUGGGAUAUUCCUCUGAAUUGCAGGGAGACAAUUUCUCUGUUUGGAUC